CCGGCCCCGCGCGGCGGGAGCGGGAGGAGGUGGCGCCCGCCGGACUACCGCGGGGUCAGAGCUGGGGGGUCGGGGGGACCGCUUGCGGGGCUCACCGUCUCCAGGGUGGCACCUUUGUGUGUGUUUUAACAGAGACAGAGGUCUAGCUGUGUUGCCCAGGCUGGUCUCGACCUCCUGGGCUCAGGCGACCCUCCCGCCUCGGCCUCCCAGUAGCCGCGACUACAGGCGCGUGCCACGGCGCGGGAGGAUGUCCCGUUUAAACCAAGGUGUCGGCUGCUGACACUGUAGCUCAGACCCACAGGCAAGUCUGCGCAAACCUCGCAUGCUUCUCGUCUUCCGGGCCGAGCCCCCAGGCGCAUUCACCCAGCAUCCUUCCUCCCGGGUGUGAAGGAGGACCCUCUGGAAUGGCGGUGUUAUGACCUGCAGUCAGACAAGGAGUUAGUGGACAUGUGUAUGCAAUCAACACAAACCCUGAUGCAAGAAGAAAGUGUCCCAAAAGGAGUUUGGAUGACAGGCAAGGCAUCUGGCAAAGAGAAAAUCACCUCUGAUGCAGGAGACCCUGCAGAGCUUUUGGGGAGCAUCUCUCAAGCUGCCUCCUCAAGGAGAUCUGAGAUCCGGGAGGAGGCCGGACCUGCCAGGCCAGACCAACAGGCUGGGAGAGGUCAUUGCCAGGAAGAGGCCCUUCGCCAGGAACUGAAUCAACCAGCACCUUGAUCUUGGACUUCACAUACUCCAGAACAGUGGAGUAUGUUGCAAACCUGUGCACACAGGUGGAACCCAGCAGCGCCGGAAGCUGUGCCGUUGCGUAACUGGUACAGCAGGAAUCCCACAGCACUCUUCCACGUCCAUCUCACGGGGCAGGCCUGGGUCACGUGGCCACUCCAGCUGCACGGCAGGCUGAGACGCGGUUCUUAGCUCUGCUUGUCUCUAGAAGAGACGGAAAAGGGAGAAGGGGAACUGGAACCAGUUUAGCUACAUACAGGAAGAGAUACUCCUAAUCUUUGGACUCUGUAGUGUCUGGACCUGCUGCCUCCAUCUUGGUUCCAGCCUGGGCAGGAAGCAAGUGCUGAGAAGGCCGGAGCAGAGAGAUAGCAAAACCAGCACCCGAGAUCGACAGCGCAAACGGAAAGUGGGCAAAGUAUGUGAAGACAAAGUUCACAGAGAAGGAAAAACAAGUAGCCCUUAAGCAUAGGAAAAAAAUGGUCAAUCUCACUUAUAACAAGAGAAAUUAAAAUUGAAAUAACACUUGUGAUACCACUUUUCACCUACAGACUGGCAAAAAUCCAAAUGUUUGACCACACAUUCUGUUAUUCAUGUACAGUGGGGUAUGCAAUCGCAACACAGCUUGGAAAUACUCAGGAACUAGAAAGUUCUUCAAUGAAUAAGAAACUCAAUUAAAGACAGCAAGAUGGACUGCAGAGCUAAAGACGCCAGGUUAAGGAAGCCCAAGGUGGCCAUGUUACCACCCCAAGUUGCAACUCCUGAGAACCAUCUCCAGAUCUGGAGGCUGUGGACCAACAGACGUCUCAUGCAUGGAGGGCAAAUGGCACAGCUCCCUGUGGAGGGGAAGAGUGAACAAAGGAACCCAUGAACUGGGAUCUCUGGGUCCCCACUGAGACGCUGUAUCAGCUGACCCAGAGCACACUCUCCACAGGACUUCCUCUUAAAUGACACAAUAAAUAUCCUUGCCAAAUAAACCAGUUUGGGUAGGAUUUCUGUUAUCUAGAACCAAAAAUAUCUGAAUGAUACCCCUGACCCCCACCCUGGCCCAGGAGCAAUGCUGUCCUGAUCAGAAGCCAGAUUACAGAGUCUGGAUGGGUCAUCCCAUGACUAGCCAAAUCCAAACAGGUAUAAGUCCAAAAGCUGAGAUCAUCGCUGACAGCAGAAUCCCUCCCAGGGAAUGGGCCAUGAGCCACUCCAAAAGCAGUGGGUGGGCAACUGCCUGGGGUUAUAUUCACUCCUCGUGGUCUUGGGAGGAGUUGCCUCCUGAGUGUUUAGAAGUCCUGGUGGAAUUCAGGUGUAGAGAUGGUUCCAAGGUGCUGGAACUUGGGGUGGUAACAUGGCUGCCCUGGGCUUUCUUGACUUGCUGUCAUGAGCUAUCAGGUUUAUCUGAUUGUCUUUAGUUGAGUUUCUUAUUCACUGAAGAACUUUCUGGUUCCUGAGUAUUUCUAAAUUGUGUGGCAAUUGCAUACCCCACUGUAAAUGAAUAAAUUGGCCUUCUGUUUGCCUUUUGAGAAAUUACUAGUGAAGAAUGGACAGGCCCAGUGGAAUCCCUCAGUCCAACAUUCCUCACUAAUGACUUUUUUGGUCUGAAACGUGUUUGAAAACAGUUGGCUCCUGCCCUCAAGCUACCCUGCUUCAUGAACUGAAUUUCAUAAUCCAUGCCCACUAUACUGAACCUAGUGACUGGGACAAACUUCCAGGGCAGUCAUAGCGUGGACAGCUGCCACCUGUAUCAAUGUGUAGGGCCUGCAUCAACCCUGCCCAAGUGUUCUCUGCAGAGAGUGAGCAUACCUGGCUUCUGGGCUUGGGAGCCCCUAGGGCUCCGGGAUCCAAAGGACUUGGUUUGCUCCCUUCAAAGAUAGAGGCAGGAGCAGGACCAGGGAAUAACCAGUUGUGCCGAUGAGGGGUACUCUGAUGCCCCCGGUGCAGCUCUAGGUCUGCUAGGGGCAGGAAGAGGUGUGCAAGUGGGCCAAGCGUCCCUGGCAGUGCUUCCUAUUUGAUCAUGUGUAGCAGCCACAUGGUGAGAGCAAGAAGAUGCAGAGAAGUGUGGGGUCUUUGCAAAGGCAGAACAGUGAGUGUAGGUGCCAGGUGGGCCACAGUGCCUUGGGCUAAUGGUUGUAUCUCCAAAGACGGGUAGAUGCUGGCUUCCUCCUUAACAUCAGUCCAGCACCCCCCUCCCCACGCCCAAGGCCUUGGUCUGUGGGCCUGGCAUUCUCCCAGCCUCCUCUCCACCAUGUCUCCAGCAAGUGUCCUGUCAUCAGCCUUACCCCACGCUGAUUACUGCUCUCAGCACAUGUAUGUUUAGUUUAGACUCUGCUGUUGUUUUGUAAUUGUUUGUGGGUUGUGUCAUAUGUGUAUGUUGUGUCUAAGGUGGAUGGAGGCCCCUGAGAUGAGGAUCUGUCUUCUAGUUUUCUUCAAACAUCACCCUCCUCCUCCACAACCACCACCAAUAAUAACUAGCACCUAAUGCAGGGCAUUACGUAACGCAGACACAAUGCCUGUGAGUGAGUUCACAGCACAGGCGCUCAGAGUUUGCCCCACUGAACACAAACAGCACACAGGUGAGAAGCCGAGUUUUCAGAGCUGAGGACUGGCGUAGGGAGGAGCCCUUUGCUUUUGCAGUUGGUUUAACAGACGAAGGAUUUGCCCCGAUGGGGCUGUUAGAAUAACAAAAAUAGUAGAAGACGUGUUCCAUAACCUCACAAAGCAUAUGUACAUGUGAAUAUUCUUCACAGAGCUGGGAAAUAAUUAAAACAACAAUUUGCAGACAUCACAGCCUCCUGGCUUAGCAGGUAAGUGUUAAAAGAGAGAAGAUUUGGCUUUGGCUUUGGAAAAUCCAAAACAGCUUUUUCCAAAAGUCUUCACUGUGCGAUUCCUUGAGAUAUCAGCCUAUAUGUCUUAAAUGAUUU
This is a long non-coding RNA of Lemur catta (Ring-tailed lemur), 3632 nucleotides long. RefSeq lists it as uncharacterized. NCBI's taxonomy places the organism in Eukaryota, Metazoa, Chordata, Mammalia, Primates, Lemuridae. The transcript has 6 exons. The record is from RefSeq and is a predicted model, not a curated record.